AAGAUUCAAGUGAACCAGGGAAGGAGAAUGACAUCAGACUGGGCUUGUGCCUGAUAAUUCAUUUCUGAAGGUGCAAUAUUAAGUGUCACAGUGUCCAGCUGGUGAUAUUUUCAGCAUAGAAACCUGUUAGACACGGCAGCAUUAAGGAGAUGGAAUGAAUUGAUUUAUUUCUCUUCUGAAUUGCUUGGCAGUGCUUCAAGAUUGACGCAUCAGAUUUGCACAAUGUGCCACUUUAGGAGAUUAUUUCUUCCUUCCUUCAGCCAGACAGAAGACUGCAGUAGGGAUAUGGUUCCUGUUUGCCUAUUUCCAUCCACAACUCUGCCAGAGACGAAAGCAGUGUUUGAAACAAUUCACCAAGAUUUCCAUCUGGAAUCAUCAAGAAUGGAAUUGAUCAAAUUCCUUAAGAAAUUUACUUAAAGUCAUGAUUUUGACAGCCUAGUGCUACCUGGAAAAGGGACAGCAGCAGCCUGGAGCAGUUUUCUAGCUAACAAGAAUUUUGUUAGCUAUGUGGCCACCUAGUGGCUCUUCCAUGGAUGUCGCUGAUGCAUUGUCAGGUACACAGACAAUUGCCCACUAAUAAAGAAGUUAUUAUCUUUCUUGGAA
RNAcentral lists this long non-coding RNA (603 nucleotides) under Homo sapiens (human). RNAcentral describes it as "HSALNT0345743". The record is from RNAcentral. Lineage: Eukaryota; Metazoa; Chordata; Mammalia; Primates; Hominidae.